GAUGAACGCUGGCGGCGUGCCUAAUACAUGCAAGUCGAGCGAACAGAUAAGGAGCUUGCUCCUUUGACGUUAGCGGCGGACGGGUGAGUAACACGUGGGUAACCUACCUAUAAGACUGGGAUAACUUCGGGAAACCGGAGCUAAUACCGGAUAACAUUUGGAACCGCAUGGUUCUAAAGUGAAAGAUGGUUUUGCUAUCACUUAUAGAUGGACCCGCGCCGUAUUAGCUAGUUGGUAAGGUAACGGCUUACCAAGGCGACGAUAGGUAGCCGACCUGAGAGGGUGAUCGGCCACACUGGAACUGAGACACGGUCCAGACUCCUACGGGAGGCAGCAGUAGGGAAUCUUCCGCAAUGGGCGAAAGCCUGACGGAGCAACGCCGCGUGAGUGAUGAAGGGUUUCGGCUCGUAAAACUCUGUUAUUAGGGAAGAACAAACGUGUAAGUAACUGUGCACGUCUUGACGGUACCUAAUCAGAAAGCCACGGCUAACUACGU
This 496-nucleotide ribosomal RNA is filed under the name uncultured bacterium. Its description in RNAcentral is "partial 16S ribosomal RNA". It matches the Rfam family "Bacterial small subunit ribosomal RNA", at positions 28 to 506 of the family's 1533-position model. The record is from RNAcentral.